Molecule: long non-coding RNA, 1275 nt
Organism: Sebastes umbrosus (honeycomb rockfish)
Lineage: Eukaryota; Metazoa; Chordata; Actinopteri; Perciformes; Sebastidae
Exons: 3
Source: RefSeq, a predicted model, not a curated record
GAGGAAAAAAACACUGAACACGUCAGGGGGAAGAAGCCUAAUAAUGUAUGAUUGUAAAAAACGUUCCUAGAAAUAACAGAUGCAAUAUUCACAGGAAAUAAUCUGCUUAAAAUUCAUCCAAUUCGCUAGUUUACACAAACUUCCUGCAGUUAUUGCGUCCACUAUUUGUGUUGUUUUGUACUGUUACUGUUAUGCAUUGAAUAUAAUAUGAAAUAUCCAUAAACACUUAGUCAUGGGUCAUCACUUUAGUCAAUGAUAGAAAAGGGAUCCCUUCAGGAAAAAGGUUGGGAACCACUGCCAUAUAGUAUAAAAGUUCUAGCUUAUUUUAAAAUCCAGAAAGCUUCUCAGUUCUGCAACUCAUAGAAAAAAACAUUUGUGCCAAAACAAUUCCUUUAGCAUCGUCAGUUGUUUGUUGCAUAGUUGAAUAAAAAAUCCAGAAAAUUGCAUGAAGCCAGUCCUGACUUAUCUAUGUAGAUUUAUAUAAUAAGAUAGUGUAUAUAUAUCACUCUGUGUUACAGAUUUAGAAGCAUUGUCACAGCACUUGCUGUGAGAUGCAAUGGGCCAAUAAGUGCAAUAUUUUAUGAAUGAAACCCUGUACAUAGUUUCUCCUGUCCUCGAGUACAACGACUAUAACUGCGGUGUGUGAGUGCCAGUUUGGUCAGAAUGAAACUAAAGUAAAAGAGUGAGAGUGUGCUUCAUUCAGUAACUGAAUGUGUGACUUGGUGUGUGUGUGUGUGUGUGUGUGUGUGUGUGUAGCUGCCAUAUUGAACAGACAAAUUACGUACUAUAGUGUAUCGUUUGUGUAUACCUUUUGUACAAAUGUAUCCACGUACUCUAUGCUGUUCCUGCUAACUGUUGGGUGUUGGUUGAUCUUGUAUUAUCAUGUCAAAAUGCAGUGUUAUUGUGAAAGAUAGUCAGGGAGAUAACUUAGUCCAUGCCAUAUGCCAUACUGUUGUAAUUCCAAGAAAAAGGAUACACGUAAACUAGUUCAAAGACCCUGCGCAUAUGUGUGUACACGUGCUUCGUGCGUGUGUGCAUCUGUGUAUGUGUGUGAUAUUAUGAUUUUAUGCUAGUUCCCAUGAAAUAAAUUAUUGUAUUGAUCUCCAGUCAAGAUUCAUUUAAUGGAGGAAUAGUUGCCCAAACAGUCACUCUGGUCAAAUCUCCUUUUAGAGCAGUGUGACUUUACAUAAUAGUUGAAUCUAUUUGUUUCUCAGAGUGCAAGCAAAGUAAGAAGUAUGUUUUUGAGAUUAUAGGAAAUAAAUCUAAUUCUAUCAG